RNAcentral lists this ribosomal RNA (497 nucleotides) under uncultured bacterium. RNAcentral's name for it is "partial 16S ribosomal RNA". It matches the Rfam family "Bacterial small subunit ribosomal RNA", at positions 28 to 507 of the family's 1533-position model. The record is from RNAcentral.
GAUGAACGCUGGCGGCGUGCCUAAUACAUGCAAGUCGAGCGAACGGACGAGAAGCUCGCUUCUCUGAUGUUAGCGGCGGACGGGUGAGUAACACGUGGAUAACCUACCUAUAAGACUGGGAUAACUUCGGGAAACCGGAGCUAAUACCGGAUAAUAUUUUGAACCGCAUGGUUCAAAAGUGAAAGACGGUCUUGCUGUCACUUAUAGAUGGAUCCGCGCUGCAUUAGCUAGUUGGUAAGGUAACGGCUUACCAAGGCAACGAUGCAUAGCCGACCUGAGAGGGUGAUCGGCCACACUGGAACUGAGACACGGUCCAGACUCCUACGGGAGGCAGCAGUAGGGAAUCUUCCGCAAUGGGCGAAAGCCUGACGGAGCAACGCCGCGUGAGUGACGAAGGUCUUCGGAUCGUAAAACUCUGUUAUUAGGGAAGAACAUAUGUGUAAGUAACUGUGCACAUCUUGACGGUACCUAAUCAGAAAGCCACGGCUAACUACGUG